Molecule: ribosomal RNA, 1326 nt
Filed under: metagenome
Description: SSU rRNA
Rfam family: Eukaryotic small subunit ribosomal RNA
Source: RNAcentral
UCUGGUUGAUCCUGCCAGUAGUCAUAUGCUUGUCUCAAAGAUUAAGCCAUGCAUGUCUAAGUAUAAAUAGUAUACAGUGAAACUGCGAAUGGCUCAUUAAAACAGUUAUAGUUUAUUUGAUAAUUGACAAUUACAUGGAUAACCGUGGUAAUUCUAGAGCUAAUACAUGCUUAAACGCCCGACUUUAUGGAAGGGUGGUAUUUAUUAGACUGAAGCCAAUAUUCCUUGUGUCUAUUGCGGUGAUUCAUAAUAACUGAUCGAAUCUCUUUUUGAGAUAAAUCAUUCAAGUUUCUGCCCUAUCAGCUUUCGAUGGUAGUGUAUUGGACUACCAUGGCAGUAACGGGUAACGAAGAAUUAGGGUUCGAUUUCGGAGAGGGAGCAUGAGAAACGGCUACCACAUCUAAGGAAGGCAGCAGGCGCGUAAAUUACCCAAUCCUGACUCAGGGAGGUAGUGACAAGAAAUAGCAAACCGGGAACCUCAUGGUUUCACGGUAUUGCAAUGAGAACAAUUUAAAACCCUUAGCGAGAAUCAAGUGGAGGACAAGUCUGGUGCCAGCACCCGCGGUAAUUCCAGCUCCACUAGCGUAUAUUAAAGUUGUUGCAGUUAAAAAGCUCGUAGUUGAACCUCUGUCUGGGGCUAGUUUUGGCUUUGGUCAGGCUAGUUCUAGGCAUCCGCCUACAAGACUUAGAGGGCAUUCAGUUGUUCACUAGGAGGAGUAGGCAUUUUACUUUGAAAAAAUUAGAGUGUUUAAGGCAGGCAAUCGCCCGCAUAUAUUAGCAUGGAAUAAUAGAAUAGGACACUUUUCCAUUUCGUUGGUUAUUGGAAUCGUGUAAUGAUUAAUAGGGACAGUUGUAGGCAUUUGUAUUUAAUUGUCAGAGGUGAAAUUCUUGGAUUUAUUAAAGACAAACUAACGCGAAAGCAUUUGCCAAGGAUGUUUUCAUUAAUCAAGAACGAAAGUUAGGGGAUCAAAGACGAUCAGAUACCGUCCUAGUCUUAACUAUAAACUAUUCCGACUCAAUGUUUGACUGGCUUAUAUAACCAGUUGAGCGUUGUAUGAGAAAUCAAAGUCUUUAGGUUCUGGGGGGAGUAUGGUUGCAAAGCUGAAACUUAAAGGAAUUGACGGAAGAGCACAACCAGGAGUGGAUUCUGCGGCUUAAUUUGACUCAACACGGGGAAACUUACCAGGUUAAAACAAUAGUGGGAUUGACAGUUUGAGAGCGCUUUCUUGAUUGGUUGGGUGGUGGUGCAUGGCCGUUCUUAGUUGGUGGAGUGAUUUGUCUGCUUAAUUGCGUUAACGAACGAGACCUUAACCUGCGGAAGGAUCA